AGGCUCUGGGUCACCUCCCACCCGUGUUUAUUGUACCUUGUUGCUUCGGUGCGCCCGCCUCACGGCCGCCGGGGGGCUUCUGCCCCCGGGUCCGCGCGCACCGGAGACACCAUUGAACUCUGUCUGAAGAUUGCAGUCUGAGCAUAAACUAAAUAAGUUAAAACUUUCAACAACGGAUCUCUUGGUUCCGGCAUCGAUGAAGAACGCAGCGAAAUGCGAUAACUAAUGUGAAUUGCAGAAUUCAGUGAAUCAUCGAGUCUUUGAACGCACAUUGCGCCCCCUGGUAUUCCGGGGGGCAUGCCUGUCCGAGCGUCAUUGCUGCCCUCAAGCACGGCUUGUGUGUUGGGCUCCGUCCCCCCGGGGACGGGCCCGAAAGGCAGCGGCGGCACCGAGUCCGGUCCUCGAGCGUAUGGGGCUUUGUCACCCGCUCUGUAGGCCCGGCCGGCGCCAGCCGACAACCCAUCAUCCUUUUCAGGUUGACCUCGGAUCAGGUAGGGAUACCCGCUGAACUUAAGCAUAUCAAUAAGCGGAGGA
This 534-nucleotide ribosomal RNA is filed under the name Penicillium spinulosum. RNAcentral describes it as "eukaryotic LSU rRNA". The stretch from base 162 to 315 matches the Rfam family "5.8S ribosomal RNA". Lineage: Eukaryota; Fungi; Ascomycota; Eurotiomycetes; Eurotiales; Aspergillaceae. The record is from RNAcentral.